UGGGGAAUUUUGGACAAUGGGCGAAAGCCUGAUCCAGCAAUGCCGCGUGUGUGAAGAAGGCCUUCGGGUUGUAAAGCACUUUUGUCCGGAAAGAAAUCCUUGGCUCUAAGUACAGUCGGGGGAUGACGGUACCGGAAGAAUAAGCACCGGCUAACUACGUGCCAGCAGCCGCGGUAAUACGUAGGGUGCAAGCGUUAAUCGGAAUUACUGGGCGUAAAGCGUGCGCAGGCGGUUUGCUAAGACCGAUGUGAAAUCCCCGGGCUCAACCUGGGAACUGCAUUGGUGACUGGCAGGCUAGAGUAUGGCAGAGGGGGGUAGAAUUCCACGUGUAGCAGUGAAAUGCGUAGAGAUGUGGAGGAAUACCGAUGGCGAAGGCCAGCCCCCUGGGCCAAUACUGACGCUCAUGCACGAAAGCGUGGGGAGCAAACAGGAUUAGAUACCCUGGUAGUCCAGCGCCCUAAACGAUGUCAACUAGUUGUUGGGGAUUCACUUCCUUAGUAACGUAGCUAACGCGUGAAGUUGACCGCCUGGGGAGUACGGUCGCAAGAUUAAAACUCAAAUGAAUUGACGGGGUCAUAGCUGUUUCCU
Molecule: ribosomal RNA, 588 nt
Filed under: uncultured bacterium
Lineage: Bacteria
Description: partial 16S ribosomal RNA
Rfam family: Bacterial small subunit ribosomal RNA
Source: RNAcentral